This 253-nucleotide ribosomal RNA is filed under the name uncultured bacterium. RNAcentral describes it as "partial 16S ribosomal RNA". It matches the Rfam family "Bacterial small subunit ribosomal RNA", at positions 524 to 776 of the family's 1533-position model. The record is from RNAcentral.
CACGGGGGGAGCAAGCGUUGUUCGGAAUCACUGGGCGUAAAGGGCGUGUAGGCGGUCAGGUAAGUGGGAUGUGAAAUGCCUCGGCUCACCCGAGGACCUGCAUCCCAAACUGCUUGGCUUGAGUAUGGGAGAGGAUGAGGGAAUUCCUGGUGUAGCGGUGAAAUGCGUAGAUAUCAGGAGGAACACCGGUGGUGUAGACGGCUUUCUGGACCGUAACUGACGCUGAGACACGAAAGCGUGGGUAGCAAACAGG